This 1374-nucleotide ribosomal RNA is filed under the name uncultured bacterium. RNAcentral's name for it is "bacterial SSU rRNA". It matches the Rfam family "Bacterial small subunit ribosomal RNA". The record is from RNAcentral.
GAACGAACGCUGGCGGCAGGCUUAACACAUGCAAGUCGAACGAUAUAGUGGCAGACGGGUGAGUAACGCGUGGAAACGUGCCUUUCACUACGGAAUAGCUUUUGGAAACGAAAGGUAAUACCGUAUACGCCCUCCGGGGGAAAGAUUUAUCGGUGAAAGAUCGGUCCGCGUUAGAUUAGCUAGUUGGUGAGGUAACGGCUCACCAAGGCUACGAUCUAUAGCUGGUCUGAGAGGAUGAUCAGCCACACUGGGACUGAGACACGGCCCAGACUCCUACGGGAGGCAGCAGUGGGGAAUAUUGCACAAUGGGCGCAAGCCUGAUGCAGCCAUGCCGCGUGAAUGAUGAAGGCCUUAGGGUUGUAAAAUUCUUUCGCCAAGGAUGAUAAUGACAGUACUUGGUAAAGAAGCCCCGGCUAACUUCGUGCCAGCAGCCGCGGUAAUACGAAGGGGGCUAGCGUUGUUCGGAAUUACUGGGCGUAAAGCGCACGUAGGCGGACUUUUAAGUCAGAUGUGAAAUCCCGAGGCUCAACCUCGGAACUGCAUUUGAAACUGGGAGUCUAGAGAUCAGGAGAGGUUAGUGGAAUACCGAGUGUAGAGGUGAAAUUUCGUAGAUAUUCGGUGGAACACCAGUGGCGAAAGCGACUAGCUGGACUGAUACUGACGCUGAGGUGCGAAAGUGUAGGGAGCAAACAGGAUUAGAUACCCUGGUAGUCCACACCGUAAACGAUGAGUGCUAGUUGUCUGCAGGCAUGCCUGUAGGUGACGCAGCUAACGCAUUAAGCACUCCGCCUGGGGAGUACGGCCGCAAGGUUAAAACUCAAAGAAAUUGACGGGGGCCCGCACAAGCGGUGGAGCAUGUGGUUUAAUUCGAAGCAACGCGCAGAACCUUACCUACGCUUGACAUGCCCGGACGAUUUCCAGAGAUGGAUCUCUCCCUUCGGGGCCGGUGCACAGGUGCUGCAUGGCUGUCGUCAGCUCGUGUCGUGAGAUGUUGGGUUAAGUCCCGCAACGAGCGCAACCCUCAUCCUUAGUUGCCAUCACGUUUGGGUGGGCACUCUAGGGAAACUGCCGGUGCUAAGCCGGAGGAAGGCGGGGAUGACGUCCAGUCCUCAUGGCCCUUACGCGUAGGGCUACACACGUGCUACAAUGGCAGUGACAAUGGGAUAAUCCCCAAAAGCUGUCUCAGUUCGGAUUGUCGGCUGCAACUCGCCGGCAUGAAGUUGGAAUCGCUAGUAAUCGUGGAUCAGCAUGCCACGGUGAAUACGUUCCCGGGCCUUGUACACACCGCCCGUCACACUAUGGGAGUUGGAUCUACCCGAAGAUUGUGAGCUAACUUCGGAGGCAGCAAGCCACGGUAGGUUCAGCGACUGGGGU